UACAGGGGGGGCGAGCGUUGUUCGGAAUUACUGGGCGUAGAGGGUUUGUAGGUGGCUUGCUCAGUCAGACGUGAAAUCCCUCAGCUUAACUGGGGAACUGCGUCUGAUACUAGCGAGCUUGAGUGCAGGAGAGGAACGCGGAAUUCCAGGUGUAGCGGUGAAAUGCGUAGAUAUCUGGAGGAACACCGGUGGCGAAGGCGGCGUUCUGGACUGCAACUGACACUGAAAAACGAAAGCCAGGGGAGCAAACGGG
This 253-nucleotide ribosomal RNA is filed under the name uncultured bacterium. RNAcentral describes it as "partial 16S ribosomal RNA". It matches the Rfam family "Bacterial small subunit ribosomal RNA", at positions 524 to 776 of the family's 1533-position model. The record is from RNAcentral.